UAUUCAAGCGGUGAGGUGG
This 19-nucleotide small nuclear RNA is filed under the name Arabidopsis thaliana (thale cress). RNAcentral's name for it is "snRNA_13953". Lineage: Eukaryota; Viridiplantae; Streptophyta; Magnoliopsida; Brassicales; Brassicaceae. The record is from RNAcentral.